Molecule: ribosomal RNA, 510 nt
Filed under: uncultured bacterium
Lineage: Bacteria
Description: partial 16S ribosomal RNA
Rfam family: Bacterial small subunit ribosomal RNA
Source: RNAcentral
GACGAACGCUGGCGGCGUGCUUAACACAUGCAAGUCGAACGAAGAGCGAUGGAAGCUUGCUUCUAUCAAUCUUAGUGGCGAACGGGUGAGUAACGUGUAAUCAACCUGCCCUUCAGAGGGGGACAACAGUUGGAAACGACUGCUAAUACCGCAUACGAUCUAAUCUCGGCAUCGAGGAUAGAUGAAAGGUGGCCUCUACAUGUAAGCUAUCACUGAAGGAGGGGAUUGCGUCUGAUUAGCUAGUUGGAGGGGUAACGGCCCACCAAGGCGAUGAUCAGUAGCCGGUCUGAGAGGAUGAACGGCCACAUUGGGACUGAGACACGGCCCAGACUCCUACGGGAGGCAGCAGUGGGGAAUCUUCCGCAAUGGACGAAAGUCUGACGGAGCAGCGCCGCGUGAGUGAUGACGGCCUUCGGGUUGUAAAGCUCUGUUAAUCGGGACGAAAGGCCUUCUUGCGAAUAGUGAGAAGGAUUGACGGUACCGGAAUAGAAAGCCACGGCUAACUACGUG